CAUGGAGAAAUAGCUUUGCAAUUUUUAUUUUGUGGAGAUUUAGCAUGAGGUUAAAGUUCGGUGGAGAUUUGAUGUUAUAUGAUAGUUAUCGUGGGGAAAUAGAUGGUCGAUCCAAGAAUAUGAUAGAAAAGUGAGCACAAACUUUAAGAAUAAAAUCGACUGAAACACACAAUAAACGGUUGAGGGAGAAGGAGAAUAAUAUUUUGUUAAACAAAAGGCAAAAGCAUCACGUAUUAUUUAGAGCAAAAUAUAUAAAUUAAGGAGAAUCUUGUCUCUCAGCCAGACGU
RNAcentral lists this long non-coding RNA (287 nucleotides) under Brassica napus (rape). RNAcentral describes it as "long non-coding RNA (BNAP_LNC023045)". Lineage: Eukaryota; Viridiplantae; Streptophyta; Magnoliopsida; Brassicales; Brassicaceae. The record is from RNAcentral.